UACGUAGGGUGCAAGCGUUGUCCGGAUUUAUUGGGUUUAAAGGGUGCGUCGGCGGCCCGUUAAGUCAGUGGUGAAAACCAGCAGCUCAACUGUUGAUGUGCCAAUGAUACUGGCGGGCUAGAGUACAGACGAGGUAGGCGGAAUUGACAGUGUAGCGGUGAAAUGCAUAGAUAUUGUCAAGAACACCGAUAGCGAAGGCAGCUUGCUAGCCUGUAACUGACGCUGAGGCACGAAAGUGUGGGGAUCAAACAGG
Molecule: ribosomal RNA, 253 nt
Filed under: uncultured bacterium
Lineage: Bacteria
Description: partial 16S ribosomal RNA
Rfam family: Bacterial small subunit ribosomal RNA
Source: RNAcentral